UCAGGAUGAACGCUAGCGGAGGCUUAAUACAGUGCAAGUCGAGCGGUAAGGUUUCGGACCUAGAGCGGCGAACGGGUGAGUAACGCGUACGAAACCUGCCUUUAAGAGAGGGAUAGCCCUGGGAAACUGGGAGUAAUACCUCAUAGUAUUCAUUAACCGCAUGGUUUAUGGAUUAAAGCUACGGCGCCUAAAGAUGGUCGUGCGUCUGAUUAGCUAGUUGGUAGGGUAACGGCCUACCAAGGCUACGAUCAGUAGGGGGCGUGAGAGCGUGGCCCCCACACGGGUACUGAGACACGGACCCGACUCCUACGGGAGGCAGCAGUAAGGAAUAUUGGACAAUGGUCGAAAGACUGAUCCAGCCAUCCCGCGUGCAGGAUGACUGCCCUAUGGGUUGUAAACUGCUUUUAUAUGGGAAGAAUAGCAUAGAUUCAUCUGUGUAUGACGGUACCAUAUGAAUAAGCACCGGCUAACUCCGUG
This 477-nucleotide ribosomal RNA is filed under the name uncultured bacterium. RNAcentral describes it as "bacterial SSU rRNA". It matches the Rfam family "Bacterial small subunit ribosomal RNA", at positions 24 to 507 of the family's 1533-position model. The record is from RNAcentral.